GAUGAACGCUGGCGGCGUGCCUAAUACAUGCAAGUCGAGCGAACGGACGAGAAGCUUGCUUCUCUGAUGUUAGCGGCGGACGGGUGAGUAACACGUGGAUAACCUACCUAUAAGACUGGGAUAACUUCGGGAAACCGGAGCUAAUACCGGAUAAUAUUUUGAACCGCAUGGUUCAAAAGUGAAAGACGGUCUUGCUGUCACUUAUAGAUGGAUCCGCGCUGCAUUAGCUAGUUGGUAAGGUAACGGCUUACCAAGGCAACGAUGCAUAGCCGACCUGAGAGGGUGAUCGGCCACACUGGAACUGAGACACGGUCCAGACUCCUACGGGAGGCAGCAGUAGGGAAUCUUCCGCAAUGGGCGAAAGCCUGACGGAGCAACGCCGCGUGAGUGAUGAAGGUCUUCGGAUCGUAAAACUCUGUUAUUAGGGAAGAACAUAUGUGUAAGUAACUGUGCACAUCUUGACGGUACCUAAUCAGAAAGCCACGGCUAACUACGUGCCAGCAGCCGCGGUAAUACGUAGGUGGCAAGCGUUAUCCGGAAUUAUUGGGCGUAAAGCGCGCGUAGGCGGUUUUUUAAGUCUGAUGUGAAAGCCCACGGCUCAACCGUGGAGGGUCAUUGGAAACUGGAAAACUCGAGUGCAGAAGAGGAAAGUGGAAUUCCAUGUGUAGCGGUGAAAUGCGCAGAGAUAUGGAGGAACACCAGUGGCGAAGGCGACUUUCUGGUCUGUAACUGACGCUGAUGUGCGAAAGCGUGGGGAUCAAACAGGAUUAGAUACCCUGGUAGUCCACGCCGUAAACGAUGAGUGCUAAGUGUUAGGGGGUUUCCGCCCCUUAGUGCUGCAGCUAGCGCAUUAAGCACUCCGCCUGGGGAGUACGACCGCAAGGUUGAAACUCAAAGGAAUUGACGGGGACCCGCACAAGCGGUGGAGCAUGUGGUUUAAUUCGAAGCAACGCGAAGAACCUUACCAAAUCUUGACAUCCUUUGACAACUCUAGAGAUAGAGCCUUCCCCUUCGGGGGGGCAAAGUGACAGGUGGUGCAUGGUUGUCGUCAGCUCGUGUCGUGAGAUGUUGGGUUAAGUCCCGCAACGAGCGCAACCCUUAAGCUUAGUUGCCAUCAUUAAGUUGGGCACUCUAAGUUGACUGCCGGUGACAAACCGGAGGAAGGUGGGGAUGACGUCAAAUCAUCAUGCCCCUUAUGAUUUGGGCUACACACGUGCUACAAUGGACAAUACAAAGGGCAGCGAAACCGCGAGGUCAAGCAAAUCCCAUAAAGUUGUUCUCAGUUCGGAUUGUAGUCUGCAACUCGACUACAUGAAGCUGGAAUCGCUAGUAAUCGUAGAUCAGCAUGCUACGGUGAAUACGUUCCCGGGUCU
This 1373-nucleotide ribosomal RNA is filed under the name uncultured bacterium. RNAcentral's name for it is "bacterial SSU rRNA". It matches the Rfam family "Bacterial small subunit ribosomal RNA", at positions 28 to 1381 of the family's 1533-position model. The record is from RNAcentral.